GUGCUUACUUUGGCAGCACAUAUGCUACAGUUGGAAUAAUAGAGAAUAUUAGCACAGUUGCUGUAUAAGAAUGACAUGAAAAUUCAUGAAAUAAUCCAUAUUUUA
Ictidomys tridecemlineatus (thirteen-lined ground squirrel) is the source of this 105-nucleotide small nuclear RNA. NCBI's taxonomy places the organism in Eukaryota, Metazoa, Chordata, Mammalia, Rodentia, Sciuridae. The record is from Ensembl.